UCUUAUCAAGAGUGGUGGAGGGAUGUGCCCGAUGAAACCCGGCAACCAUCGUUUAAUGAAAUGGUGCUAAUUCACAGGAAGUAAUGUUUACUUUCGGAGAUGAG
RNAcentral lists this non-coding RNA (104 nucleotides) under Staphylococcus nepalensis. RNAcentral describes it as "SAM riboswitch (S box leader)". It matches the Rfam family "SAM riboswitch aptamer (S box leader)". From Rfam's summary of the family: The SAM riboswitch is found upstream of a number of genes which code for proteins involved in methionine or cysteine biosynthesis in Gram-positive bacteria. The SAM riboswitch acts at the level of transcription termination control. The predicted structure consists of a complex stem-loop region followed by a single stem loop terminator region. The record is from RNAcentral. Lineage: Bacteria; Bacillati; Bacillota; Bacilli; Caryophanales; Staphylococcaceae.